Molecule: long non-coding RNA, 1293 nt
Filed under: Mytilus galloprovincialis (Mediterranean mussel)
Lineage: Eukaryota; Metazoa; Mollusca; Bivalvia; Mytilida; Mytilidae
Source: RNAcentral
UUUUUACAGAAUUUACAAACAUUAUUUAAUUUAGCCAAAUUUCUGGAUUUCUGGAACACUGUCACAUUUGUUUUGACUGACUUUAAAGCCUCUUCUUUUGAAUAGUCUCACAGAGUGAUAUUUUAUAGAGGUAUGUUUCCAGACUUUUAAUGCCUUCACCAUGUUUACUGGUUUCGUCUGACAACCUCAUCUUUGAAACAGUCUCCAGAGUGAUAGUGGGUAUGAUUUAGGGUCUCCUAAAUUUUGAUAUUAUAAGGCUGCCCUAGUUAUCUAAUUUGUUAAAGUCAAGUUUUCUAUACACCCAAAUGAAAUAUUUGCUUUAGAUUCACAUUUAAAAAUCCUCACCACUAACAUUUUAUUAAUUAUGCCUGUCUUCAAACAACAAUAUAGUAUGUCAACAAAGAAAACGAAUUGGUAUAUAAGCAAGGUCAGUACAUAGAAUAUAUACUUCAACACCGUUAUGUAUUGGUGAAAUUAUGGAAUAUUUAUCAACAAGGUGGUGUAAUCUUCCACUAAACUUUUUAGAAAAAGGACAUGACGUUCUUUUAUAUAACCAUGGUUCAUCAACUUUGUGCUCAGACACUGCAUGAUGACAUUUAUUAAGUCUGUGUAGCAACUGCAAGCUAUUGAAUAUCGAAUGAGUUUGGGGAAAUGUAUAUAGUGAUCAAAGGUACCAGGAUUAUAAUUUGAUACACCAAACGCACGUUUCGUCUUCAUAAGACUCUUCAGUGACGCUGAGUUCAUAUAUUUAAAAAGCCAAACAAGUGUAAAGUUGAAGAGUAUUGAGGACCCAAAAUUCGAUAUACAGGUGAUGUUUGUUUAUAGCUGCUAAAUAAAGGAAACAGUAGUAUACCGCUGUUCGAAAGUCAUAAAUCGAUUGAGAGAAAAAGAAUCCGGGUUACAAACUAAAACUGAGGUAAACACAUCAACUAUAAGAGAAAAAAAAAACAAGGAAAUAACAGAAACACUGUAGUGCAACAAAAAACAAAAACCACAACACACAGAAACGAAAUAUAAGAUAACAACAGCCAUUUUCCUGACUUGGUACAGGACAUUUUAAUAAUAAAAAAAAAUGGUGGGUUGAACCUAAGCCUGAUCUAAUUUUUGACAAGUUCUCUAAGGAAUUUUGACUCAUAGGACAUCAUUAAUAUAUUUUAGUAUCUGAAAGUAAAACUAAAGAAUCGCAAGGUACUCGAACUCUGUAUCUCUUUGUCGCCCUCUUAUUUUCAUAUCACUGAAUAACCCAUAUUUCAUUCAGAACAUUUUAUAUCUCCUACUAUACUUGAAAUAAAG